This 203-nucleotide long non-coding RNA is filed under the name Solanum pimpinellifolium. Its description in RNAcentral is "long non-coding RNA (SPIM_LNC000196)". The record is from RNAcentral. Lineage: Eukaryota; Viridiplantae; Streptophyta; Magnoliopsida; Solanales; Solanaceae.
UAAACUAGUCGGACUUGCUUGAAUCGAUAGGCUUACCGGACUUCUCUGUCUAUUCAAUUUAUUUUGUUGCAGACUCUUCCCCACGCCUAUUUCUUCCCCCGGCCCUGUAGUGGAGCUUGCCCCCCGCCCUAGGCCUAUUGAGAUCUUUCCCUGUGCAGGUAAAUUUGGGCUCAGGAGGGGAAUACCCGGUUCAUCGGAACUUC